GCCUCGGUGGCUCCGAGGCCAGAGCGCCGGCCUACGGAUCCCCAGGUGGCGGGUUCGAAUCCCGACCGAGGUG
This is a non-coding RNA of Ixodes scapularis (black-legged tick), 73 nucleotides long. NCBI's taxonomy places the organism in Eukaryota, Metazoa, Arthropoda, Arachnida, Ixodida, Ixodidae. The record is from Rfam.